RNAcentral lists this long non-coding RNA (5205 nucleotides) under Homo sapiens (human). RNAcentral describes it as "HSALNT0069738". Lineage: Eukaryota; Metazoa; Chordata; Mammalia; Primates; Hominidae. The record is from RNAcentral.
CUUAAUUUUUGUAUUUUUAAUGGAGAUGGGGUUUUGCCAUGUUGGCCAGGCUGGUCUUGAACUCCUGACCUCAAGUGAUCUGUCCGCCUCAGCCUCCCAAAGUACUGAGAUUACAGGCAUGAGCCACCGUGCCCAGCCCAUCUUCAUCUUCUUUACUUGAACUUAAUUCUUUUUCAUGCAUCUUCCCUUCUUUCCUCUUUUCUCCUCCACCCAAAUGUCUUAACUGUUAACAUUCCCAGGUGUUUGGUCCUGGGCCUCUGGAGGUUGUGAAGGAGCACUGCUCAGUCCUCCCUUCAAGAAAGCAGCUUCAAGGAGUUCAAUUACAAAAGCUCCUGGCAUUGGGGACCUGCCGCCAUGUUCCUGCCCAGGGCAUGCUGGUCCUGGCUGUCACCAAGCACAGUGGAGGUCAGGUGCUAGGCCAUUUCUGCCCGACACAGGCCUCCUCUAAUGAGCAGUCUGAGGCCAGGCACAGGAGGCUGAGGCAGGAGAAUCGCUUGAACCCAGGAGGUGGACGUUGCAGUGAGCCGAGAUCGAGCCACUGCACUCCAGCCUGGGUGACAGAGUAAGACUUCGUCUCAAAAAAUAAAAAAUAAAAAAAUACUGAGCAGUCUGCUUGGGCGCUUCCAUCAGCCUGGCCAUGACAUCUUUGGAGCUGUCCUGCCCUCUUUUGCCCCGGUGUUCCUUGGCCCACCUGUCAGACCUACAUCAUAGGCUCUUCCUGUCUUCUGUUUCCUCUCCCCUUUCUCUAACAUAGGUGUUUCUCCUGAGAAAGAAAAAAACCACCUGUCCCUGACAUUCAGAAGCUGACAACACUGUUCGGUCAUGCCAUUCUCCUGUUGGACAUAAACAGUCUCUGAAUGCCAACCCCAAAGUUGCUCUCAGGCCAUGAUAAAAUAAACCACUUAAUAAUUUUGUCUAAGCACGUACAAAGAAAAUUCAAGGUCAGUUUACCACUCACAAAAUACCAAACAUCCUUCUGCUGGUUAAAACGAGUGACAGCUGCCGUGUGUGUGUGUGUGUGUGUGUGUGUGUGUGUGUGUAUGUGUAUAUGCGUAUAUAUGUGUAUGUAUGUGUGUAUAUAUAUAUGUGUGUGUGUAUAUAUAUAUAUGCAAUUAUACCUUUAUCCCUACUCUAGUCCACCUUCCUAUAAAUAAGAUGUAUUGAGAUGCUCAGUGCCCCCAUUCUGACAGCAUCCAAUCGAGUGAAUCCUCACUUCCUUGAAAUCACCCAACCAGGGCCAGAAUCCUAAAAGAGGUUCUUUGUGACACCCUCUGUCUGAGAAGUCCUAUGGUUCUCUGUGAUGAAUAGACCCAACUUGUUCAAAUACAGGCAUUUCUGGUGGGCUUUGGCUGAAGGCAUUCACACCCCCCAGUGAAUGUCUUGCACUUCUAAUUGUGUCUCGGGGCAUGCCUGGUGGAGGACCUGACUGAGACAAUUGUGACUGGAUGUGGUCUGAGAGCAGGCAGUAGGAUGAGGCUUGGGGACUGGCUCACUCACUGCCCAACUGGUAGCAAAACCCAUCUGGAGCAGCGUGUGAGGUAUGGACACUCACUCACACGAGGGGGUGGCCCAGUUGCUGAGGAUUCCACCAGUGGUACCCUGGGAAAAUAUCCCUGUGGAGGGGAAUGGGAGGAGUCAAACUGUGGAAGAUAAGAGGAGUACUGCACACAAGGACAGUAGAGUGUCUGUUCCCUGCAGAGGGAUAGUGAGGAACUGAUGAGGUGACUGUGAGUGCCCGGGGCCUCUGUCGUUAUCUUGGAGGAUCACUUUGAGGUCAGGAGUUCAUGACCAGCCUGGCCAACAUGGUGAAACCCUGUCUCUACUAAAAAUACAUUAAUUAGCAUGGUGGCGGGUGCCUGUAGUCCCAGCUACUCGGGAGGCUGAGGCAGGAGAAUCGCUUGAACCCGGGAGGCCGAGGUUGCAGUGAGCUGAGAUGGCGCCACUGCACCCCAGCUUGGGUGACAGAGCAAGACUCCGUCUCAAAAACAAACACACAGUACUGCAUCCUGGGGGUGGAGGUGAGGUGACGGUAGAGAUCAGUGCUACCCUUGGAAAUCUGACAGAUACAGUAAGAUGGUCCCUAUCAUAGUUCCAUUUAAUUUGCCAGCCUCAUCUGCAGAAUCCAGAUGGAUCCUGGAGAAAAAUUAACCAAGUAGCCUCAAUCACAAAUGUUGGGUUGGAUAUUACAUCAGUGUUAGAGCAGUUAAGGGCUCAGGUAUGUGGUGUGCAGCCAUUGACUGGGUGAAUCCAUUUUUACCUACCCCAAUUACAAAACAGUUUGCUUUCAUGUGGAACAGAUAGUAUUCCUUUCAGUUUUGCUGCAGGAACAUAUUAACUCUUCCACCCCUGUCAUAAUACAGCCUGAAGAGAUUUACCAUUAAAUACUGUUUUUUUCUCUCUCUUAACUUAAUCCCGAAUUGGAUAAUUUCUCUUCAUCUUCACUGUCACCUCUACGCCAUCACUGUCAUCUCUAGACCGCUCUGCUGUUGAGAGAUUGAUGGAAUCAUUAUGCAAACUAAAAUAGAAUGUUUUAUCUAUCAAAUUGUAUUUCUUUGUCAAUAGUGUUAGGGCACAGUAGGUUCAUUUACUGCUGGUAAGGGUGUAAAUUGUUAGAAACUUUCUGAAUGGCAGUUUGGUAAUAACAAACAAAAAGCUUAAGUUUGUGUCCUUAAAUGCCUUACUUCAAUACCCAAGGCAUAUGGCCUCAAUAAAAAAUUAUGGAAGCAUGCAAAGAUUUUGUUAACAAAGAUAUAAUCAUUGCAGGGUAGAAUUUAGAAAUUUAAGACUGAAAGAUCUUUUCAGUCACCUGCAGCAAGAAAGGAGUCAAAACCUAUGUACGAUCUCAACUAGUAAAAUUUUCUCCUUGCCCAGGGAUCAUGCUGAGUUUAAGGACAGAAAUGCAAAGUGCAGCCUGGGAAAGUGUUUCAACACACAAAAAUAGAACCACCUGUAUGUAGUCUUUUUGAAAGCACAAAAUAAAGAGCAGUCCUACAGGGUUCACUGCUAUGUCCUGAAUGUUGAUGUCCCUUCCAAAAUUCAUAUGUUGGAACCUAAUGUCAAUGUAAUAGUAUUAAGAGGUGGGGCUUUUGGGAAGCAAUGGAGUCAUGAGGGCUUCACCCUCAUGAGUAGGAUAAGUACCCUUACAAAAGAGGCUCAGGGAGGCGCUCUUGCCUCUUCCACCAUGUAAGGACACGUAGCAGGCACCCAUUUCUGAAGAAUGGGCCCUCCCCAGACUCCAUAUCUGCUGGUGCCUUGAUCUUGGACUUAGCCUCUAGGACUGUGAGUGACAUAUUUCUAUUGUUUAUAAAUUAUCCAGUAUAAGUAAGAUAUUUUGUUAGAGCAGCCUGAACGAACUAAGACACUCUAAGCGGGAAACUCACAAAAAAUAUUUGGUAGUGAAAAACAGUAUGGUGUGUUAAUGUAUGGUGACAAGUGUUUGUUUGCAUUUAAAAAUGCAUUGGAGCCUCGUUUUGAUUAGGCAGUAAAUUUACCUUUAAUACGUAAGUUUGACAGUUAUAUGUAAUCAGCUUUUUUUUUUUUAAGAUGGUGUGAUUGAGGUUAAUGUGAACUGAACUUUCUAUUUCUAAGCUGUCUUCAUCUAAUUUUACCUUUCUGUGGAAAAUCAAUACAAGUCAACCAUUUUUAUUGCCCAGUUAUUCAAAGUUUUAUUCAAAGAGCAAAGAUUUGACAAUGCAUAGAAUUAACAUUGGUUUGUGGGCCACCUUCUGGGCCAGCACCAAAGACUGAAAAAAUAUUUUGCCCCCUAAAAGUUGUUAUUGAGUCUUGUCAAAUCACAUUGCUCUGUCAGAAGGUAAGACAAAUCAGUGUGGACUGAGAGCAAGGUCAGCACCGUGAACAGCCAUUGCGGUUCCUUUAACCCACUGGGAAUUCAUGCAGUGAAGAAGCAACACACCAUGAGGCAAAUGGCUCAAACCCAAAGACCAGAGGUUCAGGGGAUAUAUAUAUAUAUUUUUUUAAUCUGUAGAGAUGGGAUCUCACUAUCUUGCCCAGGCUGGUCUCGAACUCUUGGGCUCAUGCUGUCCUACCUCAGACUUCCAAGUAGCUGGGUUUUCUUUGGGCUAAUUAUUUUUUUGUAGAGAUGGAGGUCUCGCUGUGUUGCCCAGGCUGGUCUCAAAUUCCUGGCCUCAAGCUCUCCUCCCAUCUCAGCCUCCCAAAGUGUUGGGAUUACAGGCAUGAGCCAUGUGCCCAGUCUAGAAGAUCUUUGACUUCAAAGAACAGAUAAUCUAGAGACCUUCACAAGUGAUCAUGUUGGCACUAUGGUCAUUACACUGAGACCUAUAACUGGGCUAGGAUUGGUUAUUUACAGAAAAACCUUGUGGUACUUAAUUCCAAUUCAUGUUAAUUUAUGUUAUCUUGCUUAAUCCUUGCAAAGCCCUUUUAGAGGUGGGUGUUAUCCCAUCUAUAAUCUGCUGCUUGUCUUAGACCAAGGAAGUGAAAGUAUUCAGUCCAAGCAUGCUACCAUCCAUUUCUGGUAGGUUUGGUUUGUUUUUAGUUGGCUUUCCUGUUUAACUGUUAUUUGUCUUCCUAUUGAGGUUAGAUGUGCAUUUUGGAAUUGCAUCAUUUUACAUAGAAACAGCUUUCCAGUGGAGUUGACUAGCAUCCUAAGGACAAGUACAACCACUUUUGAAAUAGAUCAUGGAAAUCACAAAGUCUGAUGUUCCACAAAAUGGAGUAUGAUGUUAUGGACACUAGAAAUACAAGGCAAGGUAUAUGGAGACCUGGAGAGGUCAAGUGACCUGUCCAAGGCCACAGAGCUAAGAAUGAGGAAGACUGUAAUUUGAAUUCAGACCUCCAGGCCAGAUGGAGUCCACCUUUUGUAUAACCCAUGCUGAAGUUUUCAGGUAAGUGAUUCAGUGUCCCUUGUCUAAUCAUCCAUGAAAAAAGGCCUUCUGGAAUUUGGUACCAGGUGCUAGAAAGAAUCCUACUUCCCCUCUUAUCUACAGGGAAAUAGAAUAAGGGCCCCUGUCCCCAACAUCCCCCAAACCUUGUGGCAGUUUUUGCAUCUGUAGACUGGUUGGGUUUGUAGGUCCGGCCACAGCUGGGGCUUGGGUCCAAGCUGGGUGAUGUAGUUAUUGGAGGGGCAUUAAUCCUGGAACUCAGAUCGCCACUCAGAAAGUUCUUUGCAUAGGAGGCGAGGUUCGGCACGCUGACCACGCGGCUGGGCACGUCCUCCACCUUCUUUUU